RNAcentral lists this long non-coding RNA (367 nucleotides) under Androctonus crassicauda. Lineage: Eukaryota; Metazoa; Arthropoda; Arachnida; Scorpiones; Buthidae. The record is from RNAcentral.
CAUAAUCUGAAUUCCUUGAAUUUUGUUCAUUUGUCGUCCAGGCGCCCCCGGUCGCGGCGCCCGGGGCGAUUGCCCCACUCGCCCCGCCCACGUGACGGCCCUGAUUCAACAAUUCAGUCAUGAUGGCUGAAUUGUUGAAUGAUGAUAGGAAAACCUAUAUCUGUUUAUCUAUGCAAACUUUCACAUUAGGUACACUUAAGGAUAUUGAAAUGUUUGAAUGCAUUCAAAAACUUGUGAUCUUCUAUAUUUACUCAAUUCUUAUUCAUUUCUCAUCUAUUUCAUUUCAUUCUCUCUUUUCAGUAGACAUAAAAAGCUUACAUAAAUAGCUUACCAUCUUUCAAGUACCCAAUUCAUUUUACAACAUUCC